Molecule: ribosomal RNA, 219 nt
Filed under: uncultured bacterium
Lineage: Bacteria
Description: partial 16S ribosomal RNA
Rfam family: Bacterial small subunit ribosomal RNA
Source: RNAcentral
AUUGAACGCUGGCGGCAGGCCUAACACAUGCAAGUCGAACGGUAGCACAGAGAGCUUGCUCUCGGGUGACGAGUGGCGGACGGGUGAGUAAUGCCUGGGAAACUGCCUGAUGGAGAGGGAUAACUACUGGAAACGGUAGCUAAUACCGCAUAACGUCGCAAGACCAAAGAGGGGGGACCUUCGGGCCUCUUGCCAUCAGAUGUGCCCAGAUGGGAUUAG